AAUGAACGCUGGCGGUAUGCUUAACACAUGCAAGUCGAACGGUAAAUACGUGUUUUACAGUUGAAGGAGCAAUCCGGAUGCUGUGAAAUGCGUAUGAGAGUGGCAAACGGGUGCGUAACACGUGGAUAAUCUGCCUUUGUCACGGCCAUAACUCUGAGAAAUUGGAGCUAAUUGCCGAUGGUAUUCGGUGACGCAAGUCAUCUAAAUUAAAGGUCCGAUGCAAGUCUGACCGGACAAAGAUGAGUCCGCGGUCUAUCAGCUAGUUGGUAGGGUAAAGGCCUACCAAGGCUAUGACGGAUAGCCGACCUGAAAGGGUGAUCGGCCACAUUGGCACUGAGAUACGGGCCAGACUCCUACGGGAGGCAGCAGUGGGGAAUAUUGGACAAUGGACGCAAGUCUGAUCCAGCAAUACCGCGUGAGGGAUGAAGGUCUUCGGAUUGUAAACCUCGAUUAAGAGAUGAUGAAGUCCGUCGUAAGACGGGUUGACAGUAAUCUCAGUAAAGUCACGGCUAACUACGUGCCAGCAGCCGCGGUAAUACGUAGGUGGCAAGCGUUAUUCCGAAUUACUAGGCGUAAAGGACAGGUAGGUGGUCGGGCAAGUUGAGAGUGAAAUCCCCUGCAAAAUCAGGGAGGGUCUUUCAAAACUGCCCGGCUUGAGUGUAGGAGGGGGAAUCGGAAUUCCUGGUGUAGCGGUGAAAUGCGUAGAUAUCAGGAGGAACACCGAUGGCGAAAGCGGAUUCCUAUCCUAUUACUGACACUGAUCUGUGAAGGCGCGGGGAGCAAACAGGAUUAGAUACCCUGGUAGUCCGCGCGGUAAACGAUGUUCACUUGGUAUGGGAGGCAUCAACUCCUUCUGUGCCGAAGCUAACGCGUUAAGUGAACCGCCUGGGAAGUACAACCGCAAGGUUGAAACUCAAAGGAAUUGACGGGGGCCCGCACAAGCGGUGGAGCAUGUGGUUUAAUUCGACGCAACGCGAGAAACCUUACCCAGGCUUGAAGAACUGGUGGUAAAUUGACGAAAGAUCAAUUGACCCGCAAGGGAGCCAGUAGAGGUGCUGCAUGGUUGUCGUCAGCUCGUGCCGUGAGGUGUAUGGUUAAGUCCCACAACGAGCGCAACCCCUGUUCUAUGUUGCUAUCCCGCAAGGGAGCGCUCUUAGAAGACUGCCUUGGUUAACGGGGAGGAAGGCGGGGAUGACGUCAAAUCAUCAUGGCCUUUAUGUCUGGGGCCACACACGUGCUACAAUGGCUAUUACAAAGGGCAGCUAGACCGCAAGGUGGAGCGAAUCCCUAAAAAGUAGCCUCAGUUCAGAUUGAGGGCUGCAACUCGCCCUCAUGAAGUCGGAAUCGCUAGUAAUCGCUGAUCAGCAGGCAGCGGUGAAUACGUUCCCGGGCCUUGUACACACCGCCCGUCACACCAUGGGGAGCUGAUCGCAAUAGAAGUUCUGUUAUGCAGAAUGAAGUUGUGAUUGGUGACUGGGG
This 1479-nucleotide ribosomal RNA is filed under the name uncultured bacterium. Its description in RNAcentral is "16S ribosomal RNA". It matches the Rfam family "Bacterial small subunit ribosomal RNA". The record is from RNAcentral.